Non-coding RNA from Indicator indicator, 249 nucleotides. RefSeq annotates it as small Cajal body-specific RNA 2. Lineage: Eukaryota; Metazoa; Chordata; Aves; Piciformes; Indicatoridae. The record is from RefSeq and is a predicted model, not a curated record. The transcript has a single exon.
GUGUCCGGCUGUGUGCGCGGUGCCUAUCUGGGUCUGUGUGUGUCCGGCUGUGCCUGGCGGGUGUGUGAGGCGCGGCCCCCAGCCCCCUACACGUUGAUCUUAUUCGAUCGGCCGGGCUAGGCCCAGCCGAGAUGAGAAGAAAGAGCUCCGCGAAGCCCGCGGGCGCUGUGCGGUAGCUGGCGGCGGGCGGGAUGAGUCGAUCAGAUAGGCGAGGCUGCGGCCUGUGAGCGCCCUGCGAUUCUGACCCGC